RNAcentral lists this ribosomal RNA (253 nucleotides) under uncultured bacterium. RNAcentral describes it as "partial 16S ribosomal RNA". It matches the Rfam family "Bacterial small subunit ribosomal RNA", at positions 524 to 776 of the family's 1533-position model. The record is from RNAcentral.
UACGGAGGGGGCUAGCGUUGUUCGGAAUUACUGGGCGUAAAGCGCACGUAGGCGGCUUUGUAAGUUAGAGGUGAAAGCCCGGAGCUCAACUCCGGAAUUGCCUUUAAGACUGCAUCGCUAGAAUUGUGGAGAGGUGAGUGGAAUUCCGAGUGUAGAGGUGAAAUUCGUAGAUAUUCGGCGGAACACCAGUGGCGAAGGCGACUCACUGGCCCGAUACUGACGCUGAGGCGCGAAAGCGUGGGGAGCAAACAGG